GAGCUGUUGCGUCGCGACGGCGCAGACAGUGACAUCAUCAGAUGGUGCAGGCAAGGGCCACGUGGAAGACCGACAAAGAAAGACUGAACAAGUAUAUUUGCUGUGUGCACAAAAAAGAUUUCUAGGUGGCUUUGCGUUCUUUUCUUUCGAGAUGGUGCUGACACAAGCGUGUUACGCUGCGGUGGACUUUUCCGCGAGCCGAUGCCCUCCAGGCUUCCUCCGAGGAACUCAUCCCGAGCGACAUGGAGAAGGUCUGGAUCACCAAUGGCAGACUGACUUGGAGUGCUGUUUGCAAAGACUGAGGAAUUGGAUUCUGACAACUCAGUCAAAGGCAGACACAGAAAUGUACAACUUGGGUAGAGUCACUAAUGGAAGCCUGAAGAUAGGCCUUUAAGGCUUCAGCUGUUGCAUAGUCCACUUGUGAACACCAGGUUUUCCAUCCAUAAAAGAGAAGCCAGAGGUGGGGAGAGGAUCUUGCCUUGUGGCACAGGCUGACCUGGAGCCUGUGAUCCUCCUGCCUCUGCCCCCGAAAUGCUGGGACUGCAUGCAAUGUGUGCACUGCUGUGCCUCAGUUGAAUUGGAGACUUGAUCAACAGCUGGAAACAGAGGCCAAGAGGCAGGUAGGAGCUGUUUCAGCAUGCAUUGGAUUUUAUCUGGAGAAAAAAUGGGAUCUGGCAAUUGUAGAUGAAAACUCUUGUGAUGAUAAGUGAACAUGCACAGCUGUUGAAGUCUGUCAGGUGGCCUUAGGUUCCAGGGAAUGACCUGGUUGCACACAGGAUCCUGGCCUCAGGUGCUCACUGCAGAGUCUGCUGUGUGUGUGGGGUGAGGCUGGCCAGAGCCCUUUCUCGGGCAUUUUUCUUAAUUACUAAAGCGUAAAAGUGCUUUGAAUUGAAUUGUACUGCUGAAACUAUUGAGUGGCUUUCAAAGGAGAGAGGAACAGGAAGUCAAGGGAGGAGCACUGAGCUCCCCAACAGGUCACAGGGAGCCAUUGUCACCUCAUGUCUAGAGACACAGAAUGAAUGAAGCUCAGGAGAGUAGGAAACUGGGGCCUGUGGCCACCCCUCUGGCAUUGGGAGGGGUGGGAACACAGCCUUCGGAUUCUUGUCAGGGGCUGGGGCCUCAACCAAGCCCUUUCCCUUUCCUGGCUGAUGCUGGGCCGGGCCAGGGCCCUUGUGAGAUUGGAAGAAUGUGUACUAAGCUUUUGCAGGCUCUUGGAUUUAAGUCUCACCUAAGUAAUCAUUGAGUAAAACGUGGCCUCAGAGCUGGAUGCGCCUUCCAGUAAACUACAGAGUCCAUGGGCUUCUCUGCAGAUGGUGCCCCAGCCCCGCCUGUGCAGGCUCCUAGCUGCAGGCCUGGGGCUUGGAGGUCAGACAUGGUGGAGAGGCUCAGGUCAGCACCCUUCCUGUCUGGAGCCUUGGCAGGCAUCAGUGGCAGUUCCUGCUAUGGCAGAUGGUGUUUGCGUUCACUGAGCUCAUUAGCUUCUGUAUGCAGCCUGUGUUUUUCCUUCCCCUUCCCCCUCUUCAGUCCUUGCCCUCUUGGACCACUUUUCUAUUGUGAGAGAUCCAUCCCUUUGUCCCUUUCUAUCUAUCCUUUAUUAUUCUCUUUCUACUUUGCUUCACUCUAAUGUGAAAUACCAUGUGGUAUUUACCUUGUUGCUCUGGUUUAUUUCACUCAACUUUGUAUUUUCCAGGUACAUUUAUUUUCAUGCAAAUAUCCCAUGUUUGUAUUCUUUAUAGCUAAGAAGUACUGCAGUACAUAUAGAUACCAUAUUUUCUUUAUCAAAUUGUCUGGGGGGUAUAUAGGCUGCCUUCAGGAUUUAGCUAUUACUGGUUAUGCUGCUAUAAAGAUUGGUAUGCAUGAGUAACUGUAGUAUCAAGAUCUUUGGGGAAUGUUUUACAUCUCUCUCACUGGACAUGAGAUACCGGAAACCCUGAGUUAAAGGAAUGAAUGUUUUAUAUAGUUCAGUUUGUGGAGGUUUCAGUCUGUAAUCAGAUGGAUGCAAAGCAGGUUGGCAUGGCACAGAGGCAACAUUUCAAGGUGGUAGAACACAAAGCAACAAGAGCACAGAGCAUGGGGUACAAGCCUCUUUUCCUCCCUUAUGUUGUGAGCAGGCUACCGGCCCUUUGGUGGGUGCAGCUCUCACAGCAUCUCCCUGCCUUCCCCUUGUUCAGGAUGAGGGUGUUUACAAAGUGGGCACCUGGCCCCCUGCUGAGUCAUUUGAUUGACCCUCUGAACUUCUUAUGUUGACACAAUGAACAGCAUCCCAGAGCUGUUGGGCUUGUCCUGUUGGGUUAUUUAGUUAAGCUUCUCAAUUCUCAAGUUGAUACAGUGUAUCAACUGUGACAAGGAAGAUACUUCAAGGGGAAGACUGGGUCAUACAGUAUUUCUAAUGCUAGUUCUUUGAGAAAUCCCCAUAGUUAUGCCAUAAUGCUGGUACUAAUUUACAUUCCCACCAACAAAGAAGGAUUCUUUUUUUGUGACAGCCUCAUCCAGAAUUUGAUACUGUUCUCAUUUCUUAAUGUUUGCCAUUCUUUACAAAGAAACAUGUAAAUUUUGUUUCUUUUCCCUUUUUUUAAUAAAGAAUUUACUGAAAGAAAAAAAAGCUUCUCAGUAAGAGAAAAAUAAGGAGGUCUAGCCUCAACACGGAAUCGUAUCAGGGUUAUACAUUACAUUUCUGUAAUGGUCAGAGAUUUUGAACAUUUUUUUCAUAGACUUGUUGAUCAUUGGUAUGUCUUCCUCUGUGAAGUGUCUGUUCAUUUCUCUUGCUUAUUUUUGACAGUCUUUAAUUUCAGGUGUCUUAAUUUUUGAGUCUUUGCGUAUUAUUAGAAAUUUGUCCUCUGUCUGAGGACUACCUGGCAAAAAUUACUAUUCUGUGGCUAAGGUUCUCAUUAGAAAAUGUUUUUUGGGGCUGGGGAUGUAGCUCAGUGGCACAGCACCUGCCUGUCAGGUAUGAGAUAUCAUGAGUUCAAUCCCUGGUACAAAAAAAGAAAGAAAAAGAAUAGAAAAUAAAAUAUUAUGCUAUACUGGUAUCUUCAAGUGUUUUGUCUGUUUUAUCUUCAGAACAUCUAAUGUUUCUGUUUUAAUGUUGAUCAACUUUGAUUUUACUUUAUGUCCAGUUUCCAUCCUUGCAAACACAUAACCAGUUUUACCAGCACCAGUUGUUCAAUGGGCUGUCUUUUCUGCAGCCGAUGCUUCCGGCUCCUUUGUCUAAGAUCACGUAACUGCGUGGACAUGAUAGUGCAUAUCUCUAGUGAGAACACGCAGGAGACUGAAGCAGGAAGAUUGCUUGAGUUCAAGGCCAGCCUGUACUACAUAGGAAGUUAAAGACCAGUCUGAACUGCUUGGAGAGACACUCUCUCCACCAAAUGAAAAACAAAACAAAGCAAAAUGAAUGAAUGUGUCUGGGAAAGAUUCUAUAUCCUGUAUUCUGAUCCAUUGAUGCAUACAUCUGUUUUUCUUCCAGUAAUGUGCUAUUUUUAUCACUAUUGUUUUGUGGUAUAACUGAGAUUAGGAAUUAACUGUGCCUUCUCUUGUUUUGCUUUUGUUGCCUAAAAUUUCAUUUGCUAUUCUGUGUCUCUUCUGUCUUUAUAUACAUUUUAGGAUCAUUUGCUCAAGUUCUGUAAAGUCCGCUGUAGAAAAUUCAGGAUGUUGGCACAUGUUUGUAAUCCCAGCACUUGGGAGGCUGAGGCCGGACUAUUAUUGCUAGUUCAAGACCAUUCUGAGCUAUGAAGUGAGCUCAAGGCCAGCCUGAAAUGCAUAGUGAGAACUGUUAUAACUCGGGCCCCGGUAUAAAAUCCAAGGAAACAAGAGUCCAAAAAUUUAAGUAGCAAAGGCUUUAUUGAGCCAGUCCGGGCGGCACAGUCUCUCCUGGAUCGACCCAAAGACUGCGCGCCCAAGACUGGGGAAAGGGGUUUUUAAAAGUAAGGGAAAGUGGGGGGAAACCUGCGAGGCCAUUAAACCUGUUGACCUGCAUCUGGAAACUGUAUUGCUGUCCACUUAGCUCUGACAAUCUCGGGAGUUCCUGGUAUUCCUUAAAUUACUCCCAUCCUGCAGACUGACAUUAUCUCAGAGUGGCACGUCUGCAGCAAUAUUUGGAGAAGAAAGUGGAGAGUUAAUUAUCUCAGGACAGCUUGUCUUCGCUAGUGAGUGCGAAGGGGUCACGAGUUAUGAGACGCUGGAACUUAAGUUUUACAAAGAUCUGAUAUCUAACUCAUUUGAUACAUACAGAACAAAAGGAAAGCACCGAUCGGGGUUUGGGCCAUAGUGUUACCCGGUAAUUUCUUUUAAGCUAAGCAGUUCUUAAAAUUGGGGCAGGCUCAUUUUAUGACAGAUCAUCACCGGGUCGGGGAGAGGUCACAAGAAACCCAAAUUCUUUAUGGCCCAGAUAGGUGGGUGGGGGGAGGCAAUAAGGCGCGCUACAGAACAGGAAAACGGCGAGUAUCUAUCUUGUGGGAAAAGUAACUAAGGUUAGGUAAAAAGGUUAAACUUAUACACAAAUCUCCCUGCAUAUAAACAAGUUAUUUCAAACAAUGUGUAAAUUAGUGGGCCUUCUAGUCUUCUUUAGCUCUUUAGCGAAGAAUAGAGGCGCCUAACCAUGAUUAACAACCCUUGUUAGCUUGUUUUAGCACCACUCUUCUUGUUUGUAGAGGGCCGCUCUGGUUAACAUCUCAAUUAAGUGAAAUUCUUGCAGUUCUUUACAGAGGAGAGUAUUGCUCAACAUUUCAAUUGGGUCGCUGAACAUAUCAGUUGGGGAAAAAGGAUAGAAAAAAAAAACAUUUAGUAAGCCACGGUACAGGUUUGCUAUAAUACACAAAAUGAUGAAGCUACUUUCUUAGAGUACAACAAGAACCUGUCUCAAACAAUAAAUAAUGUAUGCUGUUGGUGUUUUAGUUGGGACUGCAUUGAAUCUGUAUAACUGUUUUGUGAGGAAAAUGGCCAGGUCUUUUGUUGUUUUGGGUUUGUUUUUUUUUUUUUUUUUUUUUUUGGUACUGGGGAUUGAACUCACAACCUUGCAGUUACCAGGCAAGUGCUUGAGCUGCUGAGCUAAAUCCUUGGCCCUUGGCCAGUUUUGAUAAUGCUGCAUCUUUCUAUUCAAGAAAAAAGGAUCUUUCCAUUUCCUGAUGUCUUCUUCAAUCUCUUUUCAGAGUGCUGUAGUUUUUAGAGGUCUUUUUAUUUUCCUUGGUCCAGUUAAUCCAUAGAGUGUUGUUUUCAUAAUUUCCUUUUUACUCAGUUUGUUACUGGUGUUUACAAAUGGUAAAGAUUUUUGUGUGUCACUCUUGUAUCUUGCUGUGUUGCUGAAGUUGGUUCUGCGGGAGAUUUUGGGUGCUGUUACGGUUGAUACAUUGUGUCAAUGUAAGCUUAAAAGUUUUCUUAACAGGCAGUCAAGACCCUUUGUAAAUACCUUGUUCUGUGUAACAGGAGGAAGCACAGAUUUUGUGUGUGGUGUAUCUGCCCUGGGGGGUGGGUAGGGGUGGCUUGCAUACAGUAUAAGGGAGCAGAAGAGGCCUGCUCUAUACUGUUUUGCUCUGGCUGCUUUUGCCAGCUGCUGCGUAAAUCUUUUGCCCUGGUGCUGUGCCACCCUACCUUGGAGCCAGCUGAUUAUGGACUGAAAUUAUUUGGUCUUCUAACGUAUGAGAGACAAAAACAGAAAAAAUAGAAGGAAAGAAAGGAGAUCUUUAAUGUGGGCACAGAAGGGCUGCCAAAGAUGCAAGCACCCUCUGGAAGUUUUUAAGAAAAAAACUGCGGGCUUUAUUCAGAAUUGACGGGUGGAAUUGAAGGGGCAGGUAGAGUGAUGUACUGACAGCUGUCUGGAGGAGGGUUGGCAUACAUGAAAAGUAGGAUGUUUAACUUUUAGGUCUAAAACUUAUAGCACUCUGAAACACAGGGUGGCACUGUCCAGCACCACGUUAGCUCACACAUGAGAAAAGCCUUUCAGAAACCUGCAGAAACAGUGAGCUAAAUAAACCUUUCCUUCGUUCAUUUUGGGUGUUAGAUAUUUUGUCCCAGCAAUAACAAAAAGGUAACCAGUACAGGUGGAUUUUCUAUUUAGAGUGUCAGGUAGUAGCCAGAGGUCAGGAGAAAGAAAUUGUACUGACCCUAGCAGACCCCAGAAGAGUAAUCUGCAAAGUCCAAGAUAUUGACUAAGGAUAGUUAGUUUUAUUUGUAGGGUGGCAAUCAGAAGUUACAAAAGCAAAUAGUUUUUGCUGAAGGUUAUGGUACAGUGGGUAUCGUGAGUUGAGCAUUCAUGUAUGUAGCAAAAUUUUUGUGGCACAUUCACAGAAGUUUUAAUUUGAUGAUAAGUCAUGAUUUAGUUGAGGUCAGUGGCAGAGAACAGAGUGGCUGCAGCUGUAUUGCACAGAAUGUUUCCAGUGAGGUCUGGAUUUCCUUUUCAGUUUUACAGUGAAAGCUUUCAUUUUUUGACCAUCCAGUAUGGUGCUUCCUGUUGAUCUGUCAUAAGUUGCUUUUAUCAUAUUGAACUAAGGGCCUUGUAUUAUACCUAUUUUCUUCGGAUUGUUUAUCACGAAGGGAUAUUGCACAUUGUUGAAAGUCCUUCCUGCAUGUGUUGACAUGAUUAUGGUUUUUGACUUUAUUACUGGUGGGGUCCUGCAAGCAAAGGGAAAAUAAGGGGACGCACACACUAAGGCACAGCAAAAUGGCUGCAGCCUAAGCAAGUAGCUUUUAUUGAGAUAAAGAACAAAGAAACUGAAAUUGCUCAUGCUUAGAUUAUACAACUUGUUAACUUCUUGGCCUUACAGGAUCUCAUGUUUUUACCUUGGGUUGGGGGUUAUGUUUCAAGGUCUCAACUUUUUCCCAUAAUAUUGUCAACUGGGUGUGUCCAGAACAAAAUAGAAUCAAUGUGGCCUCUCUACAUCUCCCCCUUCUUUUUUUAGUUUAGACUUUGUUACCAUUUUAGAAGCUGGCAUUUUAGGUGUCAACAUUUUGCAUCCCUUACCAGAUAAGCAGGUAAGGACAGUAAAACAAAAAAAUUUAUUUUAGCUGGUUGAUAUCUGGUAACCAUCCUGUAAGGAAAUUCCAUAAUUUUGCAUUGAGCACUUGGGAGGCGUAUAUCUGUCUGGUAAGUUCUUGUAAAUCAUGAAGUUUGCCAUUGAUGGAUUUACUUUCAUCAGACAAAUUAAAACAGCACACGAGCAAUUUCAUUACAUCCGUGAGGAUGCAAUAGAAUAAUCAGUUGCAGCACGAUUAUCUAAAAUCACUUGUCACUGCUCACUUUGUUCUUUGUUUAAUAAUGCCAAAACUAUAAAAGUAUAUUUUAGUUGUUUUUGCCAUGAGACAAGCUAGUGCAUUAACAUUGCAAUUGGCCCUGGCUGCCAGGGCAGGCACACCAACCAGUGAAAUACCUAAAGCAUAAAUUUCUGCUUUGUUUAACAGGCUGAUAGAAAAGUCCCCGCAUAGGUCAGUGAGACUAGUUGUAGACCGCUUGGUGCGAGACUGUACAUUCUGGAGAAGGCAACAAUACAGUAAGGUGACUAAGGCAGCAUCUGUGUUCUGAGAUAAGUUAGCAGGGAUGUAAUUGAAGGUCUACUCUUCACAUGAGAAAAACCAUCCAGCAGGGAGAGGGCCAUGUCCAUGUCCCUAAAUACUGGCUCAUAACUGAACAAUUCCAAGUAUUACUGGGAAGGCAAAGACAUUAAGCAGUACAAUUUUCAGUAGAAGCACAUGAGGCAUUUGAAGUUGCUACAUAUGGAGGGAACACUUUAACAGCAUUAUCAGGGUUUUCAAGGGUGGGAGGGGCCCAAUUUGGAAAGUCAGCAUAUGUGACAAUUUUGCUUAGAAUUGUGGAAAAAAUGGUUUAAUUACUUAUAGAGGCAGGGUCCUUGCAUCCUGGAACCAGACAGGACCUGAGGAGGUAUUUCAUUUCUGUGUUUUCAACAAGACACAAAUGAGAGACAUUAGAUAUUUUUGCCAAUAUUGUAUCUCCCAAAUAUUGUAUUCCAGUCUUUCUUGGAGGUUGCGAGACUCUAAAGUCCCCAUGGUGGAUUGUAAAAGUCAUAGCAAUAGAAUACAAACAAGCAUUAAAGAGUUAAUUCUUAGUUUGGUAAAUAUUACCACAUGAAGCUUUUUAGCAGUGCAUUCCUCUUCAGAUACAUGGAGCAAGUCUUAUGCAGACUGGAUCAGCACCUUUCUAUCAGGUCACUGGCUGAGCAGUUGUCAUCCUGGGUCACUCACUUCCAAGGCAGCUGGGUUUGAUUUAGGGAGAGGCGAAACUGUGGAGUCGGGUUGUGCACCGAUGGUGCCAACUCAAUCCAUGCAGGAUGAAUGCAAUAAGCAGGAAUCCACACAUGGUCUGUUCAGGGUAACACAGAAGCAUCCCCUCCUCCCCAGAUCAGCAGGAGAUCCAGCCUGGGUCUGGGGGUGUUUUGAAAAAAUGGAACUAACAUAGCCAAAGAGACCUAAAGAGAAACAGUAGAGGAUAGCAGAAAGGAGAAGUCAGCCUUGGUAAGUGAGAAAACAGUAUCAGUGAGAUCAGUUCCAAGGAGUGCAAGUGCACCAGUAAGUCCUCAAGAGAUAAGAGAAGAAAUAGCAUUGAUAAUAGGAAAUACAGUACUACCAAGCAAGAAGGGUAAAUGUAACCAUUCAACAAUAAAUACCUUGUUCUGGACGGCAACAAGAGCCCCUGCAGGCAGAGGGAAUGAAUAUAAAAGGAGUCAGGAGAGGGCAGUCCUGUGGGACCCGAUCCACCAUAACGUGGUGAUUGUGUGAGCAGUGCUCCAAAGGGGAGAGUCAGAGAUCACAUCAGCAGGAUCUCGGUUGCCCCUUAAAGCACCAACAGAGGAGCUAACUGCUGCGUGGUCAAAGGAAAAUAGGGUCCUACCCAGGUAAAGUGGAGACAGCUGAAGCAGCACCGGGAACACCUGGAAGGCUGCCACGUGGUGUCCAUCUGCUCACUGGCCAAAGGUGGCAGCAGCGCCCCGCAGAGCUGCCAGGUGUGCAGGACAGAGGUUGGGGCUCGAGGCGCCGCAAGCAGCAGUUUGGCCAUCUUUUCCCUAUUCUCCAGUAUGAGCAUUCCUCCCUCAAGAUACCCCAGACAAUGACCAUGAGUUUCUCACAAAGGUUGUACUAAAUUAUGCCCAGGAGCCCAUGGCCUGCCUUGUUAAGGAGAAAAAGCAUCCCUGCCCUGUGUUUCUGCUGCGCCUCAGACAGGGGAUUCCCCAUGACUCACCAGGGAUUUCCCAAAGAAAAUGAAGUGCAUGGGUUGGCUACUGUGUCCUACCCCAGGAACACAGUGAAGGCAAGUCACCCUCCGCAGCAGAGGUCUCCGCUGUCCAUGCACCAGAUGUUGGGGUUCUUCAACCAAA
Cavia porcellus (domestic guinea pig) is the source of this 9317-nucleotide long non-coding RNA. RefSeq lists it as uncharacterized. The transcript is spliced from 4 exons. The record is from RefSeq and is a predicted model, not a curated record. NCBI's taxonomy places the organism in Eukaryota, Metazoa, Chordata, Mammalia, Rodentia, Caviidae.